UACAGGGGGUGCAGACGUUGCUCGGAAUCAUUGGGCGUAAAGCGCACGUAGGCGGUCUGUUAUGUCGGAUGUGAAAGCCCUUGGCUUAACUGAGGAAGUGCAUCCGAAACUGGCAGGCUAGAGUACUAAAGAGGGUCGCGGAAUUCCCGGUGUAGAGGUGAAAUUCGUAGAUAUCGGGAGGAACACCGGUGGCGAAGGCGGCGACCUGGGUAGAUACUGACGCUGAGGCGCGAAAGCUAGGGGAGCAAACAGG
This 253-nucleotide ribosomal RNA is filed under the name uncultured bacterium. RNAcentral describes it as "partial 16S ribosomal RNA". It matches the Rfam family "Bacterial small subunit ribosomal RNA", at positions 524 to 776 of the family's 1533-position model. The record is from RNAcentral.